AGAGUUUGAUCCUGGCUCAGAUUGAACGCUGGCGGCAGGCCUAACACAUGCAAGUCGAGCGGUAGCACAGAGAGCUUGCUCUCGGGUGACGAGCGGCGGACGGGUGAGUAAUGUCUGGGAAUCUGCCUGAUGGAGGGGGAUAACUACUGGAAACGGUAGCUAAUACCGCAUAACGUCGCAAGACCAAAGAGGGGGACCUUCGGGCCUCUCGCCAUCAGAUGUGCCCAGAUGGGAUUAGCUAGUAGGUGGGGUAACGGCUCACCUAGGCGACGAUCCCUAGCUGGUCUGAGAGGAUGACCAGCCACACUGGAACUGAGACACGGUCCAGACUCCUACGGGAGGCAGCAGUGGGGAAUAUUGCACAAUGGGCGCAAGCCUGAUGCAGCCAUGCCGCGUGUAUGAAGAAGGCCUUCGGGUUGUAAAGUACUUUCAGCGGGGAGGAAGGCGAUAAGGUUAAUAACCUCGUCGAUUGACGUACCCGCAGAAGAGCACC
RNAcentral lists this ribosomal RNA (493 nucleotides) under Enterobacter asburiae. Its description in RNAcentral is "bacterial SSU rRNA". It matches the Rfam family "Bacterial small subunit ribosomal RNA", at positions 8 to 494 of the family's 1533-position model. The record is from RNAcentral. Lineage: Bacteria; Pseudomonadati; Pseudomonadota; Gammaproteobacteria; Enterobacterales; Enterobacteriaceae.